This 442-nucleotide ribosomal RNA is filed under the name uncultured bacterium. RNAcentral describes it as "partial 16S ribosomal RNA". It matches the Rfam family "Bacterial small subunit ribosomal RNA", at positions 338 to 795 of the family's 1533-position model. The record is from RNAcentral.
CCUACGGGUGACAGCAGUGGGGAAUAUUGCGCAAUGGGCGAAAGCCUGAUGGAGCAACGCCGCGUGCAGGAUGAAGGCCUUCGGGUUGUAAACUGCUUUUAUAAGCGAGAAAUAUGAUGGUAACUUAUGAAUAAGGAUCGGCUAACUACGUGCCAGCAGCCGCGGUCAUACGUAGGAUCCGAGCAUUAUCCGGAGUGACUGGGUGUAAAGAGUUGCGUAGGUGGCAUAAUAAGUAGCUAGUGAAAUCUGGUGGCUCAACCAUUCAGACUAUUAGCUAAACUGUUAAGCUCGAGACCGUUAGGGGUAACUGGAAUUUCUAGUGUAGGAGUGAAAUCCGUAGAUAUUAGAAGGAACACCAAUAGCGUAGGCAGGUUGCUGGGACGGUUCUGACACUAAGGCACGAAAGCGUAGGGAGCAAACGGGAUUAGAUACCCGGGUAGUC